CAGUAGCCGCGGUAAUACAGAGGGUGCGAGCGUAAAUCGGAUUUACUGGGCGUAAAGCGUGCGUAGGCGGCUUCUUAAGUCGGAUGUGAAAUCCCUGAGCUUAACUUAGGAAUUGCAUUCGAUACUGGGAAGCUAGAGUAUGGGAGAGGAUGGUAGAAUUCCAGGUGUAGCGGUGAAAUGCGUAGAGAUCUGGAGGAAUACCGAUGGCGAAGGCAGCCAUCUGGCCUAAUACUGACGCUGAGGUACGAAAGCAUGGGGAGCAAACAGGAUUAGAUACCCCCGUAGUCCCUGUCUCUUAUAC
This 301-nucleotide ribosomal RNA is filed under the name uncultured bacterium. RNAcentral describes it as "partial 16S ribosomal RNA". It matches the Rfam family "Bacterial small subunit ribosomal RNA", at positions 509 to 807 of the family's 1533-position model. The record is from RNAcentral.